This 1415-nucleotide long non-coding RNA is filed under the name Oryza sativa (Asian cultivated rice). RNAcentral's name for it is "long non-coding RNA (OSAT_LNC000119)". The record is from RNAcentral. Lineage: Eukaryota; Viridiplantae; Streptophyta; Magnoliopsida; Poales; Poaceae.
UGAAAUGUUGGCAUCUAAAUAAGGCAUCCUGCUAUCGCAGAAACACCAAAAAUGUGUUUUCCUUAGUGCCGAUAGGGGAUUUUCCACCCCCAAAUCAGUGGUAUCUUUGUCUCUGCAGCGUGAAUUUUGACCUGCGAAUGUAAAAUGUUGGGUACUGAGCACAUAGACCCACAAAUAGUGGUGUAAAACUGCUAAAUUUAUGUAUAAAUUAUUUAAGGGUAAAUUUCAUGCAACCUCAUGUAAUAUGGUUCAAGCUGCACAAAAUGGCACAAAAUCACUAUGCAAUGAUGUUCAUAAAAGGUACAUUGUACUCUAGUACUCUACACCAGGUAAAUCAAUUAAUAUUUUUUUCUCACUUUCAUCAGUACUAUAUCUUUUAUAACCUUUUGGGAACUUGAUGGAUCGCAUUUCUGGAAAGAACAGGAUAUGAUGGUCAAAAUUUCUUGCUGGCAAAAAUAUGUAUUUUCAGCUUUUGUAGUAACUAGUACCAUCUGGAGAGGUUUACAGGGGCCAAGAUGAGCCUGAGCUCUCUGCUAGGGCUUCAGCACAGGGUCUAGACCCGAGAAAGCCCAUGAAUAUCAUCAUGGAAAAACCAAAUAUUUACAAAGAUAUAAAAGGUCUUUAGCUUGGAAUGAGAGAGCUAAGGCAAGCCCGGCCCAAGGCAGCUCAUUUUCAACAAGUACGCGUCAGAAAUCACUUUCCCCUCCCAUUUGCCUGGGAGCUCAUUCUCCACAUAAAGCACUAAAAUGAUAUUCUCAACCAUAUGCAUUGUUACUACUAAGUUAUGCAAUGAAAUGAUAUGAGAGUGAAUAAUUAUCAGAACCAAAUUAUUUGGCUUAAAAUGGCGUGUCAUCGGAAAUGGUUUGAUGCAAUGACAACACAUAUUCCACAGCUUAGGAGAAGGAGAAACAAAUGAGGAGUUGAGCAGUUCUAUCUUUUCAAGAACAUAUCACUGUUCCUUUUCAGCUUGCAUUUCAAGCCUUUCUGUACUUCCCUUAUCACCUCAAUUCUUCACACCAUACUCUGAAUUUGUGAUGGAUGAUCUGAAGAAUGGAAUCUUACCUAGAAUUAGAUCAAAGAACUGAAAGAAUCACCUACCGAAGAUCGCGAGAUGUUGAGAGCUAGAAAGAGGGAUACAGCCUAGCAUGGGGGAUGAGAAUCACUCUCUUAGCCAGGAAGGCUCACCAUCUUCCAUAUUUCAUCCACCAUCUGAGAACCCCAAGUGUGUUCCAGUGAUGAACCAAAUAGUGGAGAUAGGCAAGCCAUUCUUGGCUAACAGAGGCAAUCUCCUCAUCUCCAUGUAAGGCUACCCUCCUCACAAGUUUACUCUGCUUAAUUAACUGCCCUUAAUUGCUUGCCAUUUCAGCUAGUGUGCACCAAGUAUUUAUAGUGUGGACAAGAGGGUGGGGAUAGGG